CUCUCCCGGUCCCCCUCUCUGAAUCUCUCUCUUUUAUUACGGCAGAUUUCCCCAUCUCCGGCUUCCGAGCCUCUGCAUCUUCGCCUUUGUUUGUCUUUAAAGAAGCCACCCGGGGUUGGGGACCCAGACGCCGCCGCCGGCGGAGGCUUCCCGGGGCGACCUCGCCCCCACUACCCGGCAGCACUCCGUUCAGUUCCUGCCUCACUUUUUGCGUUUCCUUUUGGCGGAAUCUGGCCUUCUCGGCUCCGUCUCAGCUCAGGCUGGCUCCCGGGAGCCCAGGAUGGGGAGGGAGCCUAGUCUACGCAAGCUCUAAAGGCAGAUUCACUUGAUAUACCGACUGGAACCCGAGGAGGAGGAGGCGGGUUGGGGCCCCGGCGUACCAGGAGCUUCGCCUUCUCCUGCCUCCGGCUGUCUCUCCGAUCGUGCGUUCGCUGGAGAGGGGUAGGCCUGGCCUUUUCGCUUCCAGGCCGCUUUCACAAGGGCCAGGCUUUGUCCCCACCUCUAUCCCAACCUCAGGGUCUCCGCGGACUGCAGCGCCGCUGGGUGGGCCCGGUGGGAGGCUCCGGUAGGAGUCCGGCGCCCUAGAGCCAGCCCGGCAGAAGCGGAAUCCCAGCGCCUGGAUGAGAACCGCCUGGCUGCCGACAACAGCGCUCCUCAUCUGAGGCUCUGGUGGUGGACUCCGCAGUCUGAGAGGGACAGAAAGCCUGUAGGAGCUGCCUCCCCAGACCCCACUCCCACCAAACUCCACCCGCGUUACACCAAGGCUGCUACCCCGAGACUCAGAUUGGAGCCUCAGACUCCAGUCUCCCAGCCCUCCUGUUGGAAGGUUCUUCUCAGUUGAAGCAGAGGUCUUGGGUCCAGACCAGCUCUCAGCUCCUGCAGGAAGCUCACCCUACAAGGUCUAAGGAGAAAUCUCUUGGGCACAGGACUUUCUCUUUUUUUCCAAGCCACCCUCUUGAAACUAGCACCUCUACUUCUGGCCAGCAAGCGGGACUGCUCCCCAGAAGCGUGCGCGCGCAGGUCGCCAUCCAGGCGGGUCUCUGCGCUUCUGCGCUGAAGCGGCAGCUGCCAAGCCCGAGGCUCCUCCGCAGGGCUCGGACUGGGCAGGACUGGAGGAGU
Long non-coding RNA from Dama dama (fallow deer), 1119 nucleotides. RefSeq lists it as uncharacterized. NCBI's taxonomy places the organism in Eukaryota, Metazoa, Chordata, Mammalia, Artiodactyla, Cervidae. The transcript is spliced from 4 exons. The record is from RefSeq and is a predicted model, not a curated record.